RNAcentral lists this transfer RNA (66 nucleotides) under Dipodomys ordii (Ord's kangaroo rat). It matches the Rfam family "tRNA". Rfam says of the family: Transfer RNA (tRNA) molecules are approximately 80 nucleotides in length. Their secondary structure includes four short double-helical elements and three loops (D, anti-codon, and T loops). Lineage: Eukaryota; Metazoa; Chordata; Mammalia; Rodentia; Heteromyidae. The record is from Rfam by way of RNAcentral.
GGUGGCUCAGUGGUAGAGUGCUUGCUUUGCAAUGCAUGAGGCCCUGGGUUUGAUUCCCCAGCACCA